GUUAACAUUCAAUAAUAUGGAUGAAAAGGUUGAAGAUUUGGUUAUAUUAUCUGAUGAACGUUUUAUUUCGUUGCCACUAAAAUAUAAUAAUGGAUAUUUUAAAGUAAGUAGCGAAGUAAAAGCAAAACUAAUUAAAAUUAAUACCAACCGCAUAUUAGAUCAAGUAAAAUAUAUUUAUAGGAAUAAUAUUUAUAACAGAAUGGAACAUGUGCAAUUAUUUCGAUCUUUUUCAAAGUUAUUUUUAAAUUAUUAUAAAAUAUCACAUAAAGAUUUGUUACAAUACACAACAGGUUUGGUUAUGCAAAAGUCGGACUUGUCAGAAGAAUCAGAAAAGAUGAUGGCAUAUGAAAUGUAUGCAGAAGAGUUAUCAGUUUUGUUAAAUUCGCUAAACUACGAAUUUGAUGGAAAAGCGUUAGGACUUAACAACAAGGUUUUACUUAUAAAUGAGGAAGAAUAUUCUUCCAAAGGGUUUAAUAAGGACACUUAUGCACAUAUACAUGAAUAUCAAUUAAUACUUAAAAAUACUUAUAAACAUUGUGCAAAGCAAGUAGCAUCGAUCAGUAAAGUAUUGAACGAUUAUAUAUUUGAAAAAUUAAACGAGAAAUAUAAUACACAUUGUGAUGAGUUGAGUGAUGAUCAUAAUUAUUUUAAUUUACCAGUAAAGCAAUACAUAUUUAUGUUGGAUUGUAAUAUAUCGUUAUAUUAUGAAUCGUAUGAGAAGGAAGAUGUUAAGAUAGAGCAACUUAUAUCGAAUAGAACGUUAUUUACUAACGUAUCAAUCGAAUUAUACAAUUAUGAUAAGUUUGAGUAUACAUUGCUUAUAGACACAAAAAUUGACGAGAAUUUAAUUGAUGGUUUAAGAGAGCAUGUUUCCAGCUAUGUGAAUGAUGAUACGAUGAUAACAAUAGAUAUCAUAGGUCGUAGGAAUAAUGCAACAGAGUCUUCAAUUGAUUAUAAGUUAGAACAGAUUUUUUUUUCAGUGAAUUGUGGUGCGAAUUGUACCAAUGCACAACCUAUAGUUGUAGAAGAAAAUGUAGAUUAUAUAUAUAUUGAUGCAAUAUGUUUUAAAAAUCGUGGUUUACGUACUAUUUGUUUUCCUACGUAUAAUUAUACUCACAUAUUUGAUAUGAGGUUAUUAAGAAUACACAGCUUUAAUGUAAAUCCUUAUCCUGAAAUUUUAUUAACAGAAGAUGUGCACAAAUCUAUUACAGAAAAGGGUCAUUGUAUUUUGGCCACACCUUUUAAGGAAGCCAUUUUUGCAUAUAAUGUAACUAAUUACAGAGAUGGAGUAUGUGACGAAUCUAUUAAUCAUUGUAGUAGAAAGUUUAGUACAGUCGAAAUAAAUAAUAUUUCAGAUGUAUCGUAUUUAAAAGGUUUAAAAGAAUACAUACAGG
Molecule: long non-coding RNA, 1394 nt
Filed under: Piliocolobus tephrosceles (Ugandan red Colobus)
Lineage: Eukaryota; Metazoa; Chordata; Mammalia; Primates; Cercopithecidae
Description: lncRNA (ENSPTEG00000025055.1)
Source: RNAcentral